Molecule: ribosomal RNA, 372 nt
Filed under: uncultured organism
Description: partial 16S ribosomal RNA
Rfam family: Bacterial small subunit ribosomal RNA
Source: RNAcentral
GGAGGGUGCAAGCGUUAAUCGGAAUUACUGGGCGUAAAGCGCGCGUAGGCGGCUAAGUAAGUCGGAUGUGAAAGCCCUGGGCUCAACCUGGGAAUUGCAUUCGAUACUGCUUGACUAGAGUAUGGUAGAGGGAAGUGGAAUUUCCGGUGUAGCGGUGAAAUGCGUAGAUAUCGGAAGGAACACCAGUGGCGAAGGCGACUUCCUGGGCCAAUACUGACGCUGAGGUGCGAAAGCGUGGGGAGCAAACAGGGAUUAGAUACCCUGGUAGUCCACGCCGUAAACGAUGAGAACUAGAUGUUGGGAGGGUUACCUCUCGGUGUCGCAGCUAACGCGUUAAGUUCUCCGCCCGGGGGUAGUACGCCGGCAACGGUA